AGGGAAUAUUGGACAAUGGGCGAAAGCCUGAUCCAGCAAUGCCGCGUGAGUGAUGAAGGCCUUAGGGUUGUAAAGCUCUUUUACCCGGGAUGAUAAUGACAGUACCGGGAGAAUAAGCCCCGGCUAACUCCGUGCCAGCAGCCGCGGUAAUACGGAGGGGGCUAGCGUUGUUCGGAAUUACUGGGCGUAAAGCGCACGUAGGUGGCUUUGUAAGUCAGGGGUGAAAGCCUGGAGCUCAACUCCAGAACUGCCUUUGAGACUGCAUCGCUUGAAUCCGGGAGAGGUGAGUGGAAUUCCGAGUGUAGAGGUGAAAUUCGUAGAUAUUCGGAAGAACACCAGUGGCGAAGGCGGCUCACUGGACCGGUAUUGACGCUGAGGUGCGAAAGCGUGGGGAGCAAAC
Molecule: ribosomal RNA, 400 nt
Filed under: Sphingomonas sp.
Lineage: Bacteria; Pseudomonadati; Pseudomonadota; Alphaproteobacteria; Sphingomonadales; Sphingomonadaceae
Description: bacterial SSU rRNA
Rfam family: Bacterial small subunit ribosomal RNA
Source: RNAcentral